This 253-nucleotide ribosomal RNA is filed under the name uncultured bacterium. RNAcentral describes it as "partial 16S ribosomal RNA". It matches the Rfam family "Bacterial small subunit ribosomal RNA", at positions 524 to 776 of the family's 1533-position model. The record is from RNAcentral.
GACAGAGGGUGCAAACGUUGUUCGGAUUUACUGGGCGUAAAGCGUGUGUAGGCGGCUUGGCAAGUUGGAUGUGAAAGCCCACGGCUCAACCGUGGAAGCGCACCCAAAACUGCUUCGCUCGGGUCUCGGAGAGGAAGGUGGAAUGCUUGGUGUAGAGGUGAAAUUCGUAGAUAUCAAGCAGAACACCUGCGGCGAAGGCGGCCUUCUGGACGAUGACUGACGCUGAGACACGAAAGCGUGGGGAGCAAACAGG